This is a long non-coding RNA of Folsomia candida, 922 nucleotides long. RefSeq lists it as uncharacterized. Lineage: Eukaryota; Metazoa; Arthropoda; Collembola; Entomobryomorpha; Isotomidae. The transcript is spliced from 2 exons. The record is from RefSeq and is a predicted model, not a curated record.
CAAAGUUAUCAGACUGGUUCACGUUGAGUCAAUUAUCACCAAGAGAGGUGAGGAGUUAUGUUAUUACAUGCGACCCACUCUGCGCCUUUCACCUGCAAUAAUAUUGAAUAGAAGGAGUGAGCAUUCAUAAAUAUAUUUUUUUCACCGGAUGCGCACUCUCCAGCAUAAUGCAUGUUGGUGCAUUAACUUUGGAGUAAAUGAAGAAUUCCACCCGACUGAAGUAUAUCAUUAAUCACUGGCUGAUUUAAAUAUUAUGGAUGAGAUUGAUGGACGUUCUAUGCUCGAAAGGAACAGUGAGACGAUAAUAAGCUGAAGAAUGUUAACAACUACGACAAAUAAACAGAGAGAGUCUCGCCCAACUAACUUUUAUGUAGACGUGAACAAAAAUCCUUCUCCCAAUGUGACGUAAUUAACGAUGAAUCAAUUAUAAAUAUUAUGCUGCAGACGGGGGGAAGAAGUAAGAUUUGAUACUCAAUAAGGUACAGAAAUUGUUUAAUAAUAAUGAGAUUUAAUUCUAUCUACAACACUUCACCCUUGUUCAUGACUGGAUUUGAAGCUCGUUCAAUUGAUUUCGCAAUGUGUGCUCCACUCCUCCUCCUAAUAAUUUAAUCUGUCUACUAAAUACCAUCUUCUGGCUUACCUGGAAUAUUUUACAUGAAAACUUGACUGACUCACUGGUAGCACUGCUAUUCCUCGGUAGCAGUAGAAUUCAAUUACACGUAUAUGAGCGAGUAUAAUAAGUGCUGAUAUAUAUAUUUUAUGGCAUGGAAUUAAUAAUGAGCAAUCGUCUGUAAAUAAAUCAUGAAUCAACCAAUAUCAUGAGAGGGAUGAAUCGUUCAGAAAGAGAAUCUUGCAGAUUUCUGUAUAAAGUCAUGUACAUGAAUAUUGGAUGUUUAAAAAAAAUAUAAUUCUAGUAAAUGCU